This 254-nucleotide ribosomal RNA is filed under the name uncultured prokaryote. RNAcentral describes it as "partial 16S ribosomal RNA". It matches the Rfam family "Bacterial small subunit ribosomal RNA", at positions 525 to 777 of the family's 1533-position model. The record is from RNAcentral.
ACGUAGGGUGCGAGCGUUGUCCGGAUUUACUGGGCGUAAAGAGCGCGUAGGCGGUCUCGUAAGUGAGAAGUGAAAUCUCCAGAGCUCAACUCGGAAAUUGCUUUUCAUACUGCGAGACUGGAGGGAUGCAGAGGUGAGUGGAAUUCCUGGUGUACCGGUGAAAUGGGUAGAUAUCAGGAGGAACACCCGUGGCGAAGGCGGCUCACUGGGCAUUACCUGACGCUGAGGCGCGAAAGUGCGGGUAGCAAACAGGA